GGACAUUGUCAGGUGGGGA
This 19-nucleotide small RNA is filed under the name Arabidopsis thaliana (thale cress). RNAcentral describes it as "Ath_wt_01471". The record is from RNAcentral. Lineage: Eukaryota; Viridiplantae; Streptophyta; Magnoliopsida; Brassicales; Brassicaceae.